CAGUAGAGUCUAAAGCUUGUCAUUUUCAAAUAACUAGGUAUGCACAUGAAUUACAGUUCAAAAUUCAUAGCCACUGGCUAAACAGAUACGUAUAUAUCUCCCCCAUUUGUGUUUUACUGUGAUACUUUAUAGUUACUACAGAGUUCACCGUGGGGAAGUAGACGGAUUGGAGGAACUCCUCUUAGAUGGAGCUUUUGCCUGGAAUUUAUGGGAUGGAACCAGGGGAGCCUGGGAGUUAUUGCUCUUUUUUUUUUUUGCCAGACCUGGGACUUGAACUCAGGGCCUGGGCACUGUCCUUGAGCUUCUUUUGCUCAAGGCUAGCACUCUACCACUUGAGCCACAGUGCCACUUCCGGCUUUUUCUGUGUAUUUGGUACUAAGGAAUCGAACCCAGCGUCUCAUGCAUGCAAGGCAAGCACGCUACCACUAAGCCACAUUCCCAGUCUGGAGUUACUGUUGUGAAAGUAACCACUGAUCGUAUGUAUGUCUAUUUAUGUGUAGGACUAUUGAGAGACACUGUCAGCCAUUGACAGAGAUGUUGAAUGGACAUAUGUGCAGGACGCUCAGCAGACGUGCUGUCUUUACAUAUGCGGUAGACAUAACUGUAAAAGGAGGAGGCCUAGCUCCUAAACCAGUAUCUGGGCUCUGCUGCAUUGCUUUGAAUAAGCCACGGAGGAAGCAGAGUAGAUACACUAAAUUAAAAGAAUGGACAGAAAAACUGCUUUAGGAUAUCUUUAGAGCCCAGGUCCUUUAUUGCUUGCUCUACUUCUUUGCCUUUCAUCCUCUUCUUAGCUACUCCAGUGAGGCUCUGGUCCUCUCAUGAGAUGCUCUUGGCUUAGCCAUCAUUUGUUACUGCAUCUGAGAGUCCCAUCUCUCUCCAGAAGCUAUUUGAUCUCUUAGCAGCCCUUGGCACAGCUGACCAGUCUGACAUUUGUGAACCUCUUUCCUCCCUUGCCCUUGCGACUUCAUGAAAAUCCAGACUCUCUUCUUGGGUCAUCGAUGGCUUCUCUUCUGACUCCUCUUUUUUUUUGUUUGGCUGUUUGGCAGUGCUUGCGGCUGAACUCAGGGCCUUGCACUUGCUAGGCAAGCACUCUUUCACAGAGCCAAAUCCUUAACUUCCCUCUUCAGCCCUCCUCCUUUGCUGUCUGGCACCUGGGAGAGGAGUGUCCAGGGCUUGGUCUGUUCUUAGGAGCUGAUCUCAUCUAGGCCCCUGGCUUCAUAGUCUGUUGACAUGUCCAUGGCACCCAAGCUCCGCCCUUAGUUCUGAUCUCCUGUCCUGGCUCCCACUUUGCCUGUUCUCUUCUUCACAGUGUGCCACCCCAUCAUCCACUCAGUUGAAGCUACAAAUCUAGUUUGUCUUUAAUUCUUCCCUCUUCUCAUCACUCAUCAUCCCAUCCCAUUUCAUUAGUAGAAGCUGGCAGCUUUACCUCCAAAGUGUGCUCUCUACUGCAUGGCUUAGAUCUG
Molecule: long non-coding RNA, 1463 nt
Organism: Perognathus longimembris pacificus (Pacific pocket mouse)
Lineage: Eukaryota; Metazoa; Chordata; Mammalia; Rodentia; Heteromyidae
Exons: 3
Source: RefSeq, a predicted model, not a curated record